UACGAAGGGGGCUAGCGUUGUUCGGAAUCACUGGGCGUAAAGGGUGCGCAGGCUGGUUCUUAAGUCGGGGGUGAAAUCCCGAGGCUCAACCUCGGAACUGCCUUUGAUACUGGUGACCUUGAGGCCGGAAGAGGUGAGUGGAACUGCGAGUGUAGAGGUGAAAUUCGUAGAUAUUCGCAAGAACACCGGUGGCGAAGGCGGCUCACUGGUCCGGAACUGACGCUGAGGCACGACAGCGUGGGUAGCAAACAGG
This 253-nucleotide ribosomal RNA is filed under the name uncultured bacterium. Its description in RNAcentral is "partial 16S ribosomal RNA". It matches the Rfam family "Bacterial small subunit ribosomal RNA", at positions 524 to 776 of the family's 1533-position model. The record is from RNAcentral.